CGAGGUUUCUCCAUUUUUGGUCAGGCUGGUCUGGAACUCCCAACCUCAGGUGAUCUGCCUGCCUUGGCCUCCCAAAGUGCUGGGAUUACAGGCGUGAGCCACCACGCCCAGCAGAAGUUAUGUUAAUAUGCCUGAAACCUAAUAUGCCCUGCCCAACCCAACUUUCUCACCUGCCAGUAGUACCCUGACUUUCCAGUCAUCCCGGCUCAAACCGUGUCCUUUUUGACUCCUUGCUUCUUUUAUUUGAUUAUAGUUACAGCCAGCAAGUCCUAACAGCUUGUUCAUUCAACAGAUAUUCUGGAGCUCCCAUUUGCUCAGCCCACACUGAUUUCUUUCCUCUUACAGCAUUUGCAUUUGGUACACUCGGCUUGGCACCUGAGAAUACUUUUCUUUUCUUUUUUUUUUUUUUGUUUGAGACAGUCUCCCUCUUGCCCAGGCUGGAGUGCAGUGGCACGAUCUUGGCUUACUGCAACCUCCGCCUCCUGUUCAAGCAAUUCUCAUGCCUCAGCCUCCCAAGUAGCUGGGAUUAUAGGCAUGCACCACCACACCUGGCUAAUUUUUUUUUUUUUUUUUUUUUUUUUUUUUUAGUAGAGACGGGGCUUCACCAUGUUGCUCAGGCUGGUCUCGAACUCCUGACCUCAGGUGAUCCAUCUGCCUUGGCCUCCCAAAGUUCUGGGAUUACAGGUAUGAGCUGCUGCACCCGGCCAGAUUUCACUUUUCAUUUGAGGUGGGUGCCCCUAAGUGUACUGACUUCACCUCAUCUGUAACUCCUCUUAGGCAAGGGUAACAUCUCACACCUCUUUGUAUCUUUCCCAGGACCUACUUCACAGUCCUGUGUUCCACUGUAGGCCCUCAUUCUCUAUAUUUGUAUGUACCUAGAUAGUGUGGGUCUAGGCUCUGGGGACAGAGCAGUGAAAAAAAAAACCUAACAAUAAUCCCUGCCCUCGUGAAUUAUACAAUCAGAGGAGAAAACAAAACAAUAAUUUAAAAAGUAAAUAAAAUAUGUAGUACGGGCCGGGCGUGGUGGCUUAUGUCUUAAUCCCAGCACUUUGGGAGGCUGAGGCAGGUGGAUCACCUGAGGUCAGGAGUUCGAAACCAGCGUGGCCAACAUGGCAAAACUCUGUCUCUACUAAAAAUACAAAAAUUAGCUGGAUGUGGUGGCACAUACCUGUAUUCCCAGCUACUUGAGAGGCUGAGGCAGAAGAAUCGCUUGAAUCCAGGAGGUGGAGGAUGCAGGAGCAGCCACUCCCGUGCGGGUGACAGAGCGAGACUCCGUCUCAAACAAAAACAACAAAAACAAAAACAAAACAAAACAAAGACAACUGUUUAGAAAAUAUAAAGUGAGAAAGGGGGCUAUAAAGUGUGUGACUGGAGGGAGGUAGGACACUGAACUAUUAGAUAGGAUGGCAGACUUUUGGGUAGAGUAUAAAAGAGGUGAAAGAGACAUAAGGGCUCUGGAGGAAGAGCAUUCUAGGAAGAGAGAAUAGGAUAUGCAAAGGCCCUGAGGAAGGAAUACGUCUCAUACCAUCCCCAGACAGCAAGAACAUGGAGGCUGUUUGUUGCAUUUCCCGUCCUGCAUUACAAUAAAAAAAAAAAAAAAAAAAAAAAAAAAAGGCAGGCCUCUAGCAGCUCGAAAUAGCCAUAACUCAUCAUCAUCACUCAUGAUAAGAACUCAGCAUUUGGCUGGGUGUGGUGGCUCACGCCUGUAAUCCCAGCACUUUGGGAGGCCGAGGCGGGCAGAUCACCUGAGGUCGGGAGUUCGAGAACAGCUUGACCAACAUGAAGAAACCCCGUCUCU
Molecule: long non-coding RNA, 1798 nt
Filed under: Homo sapiens (human)
Lineage: Eukaryota; Metazoa; Chordata; Mammalia; Primates; Hominidae
Description: HSALNT0236343
Source: RNAcentral